This 200-nucleotide unclassified non-coding RNA is filed under the name soil metagenome. Its description in RNAcentral is "partial contains 5.8S ribosomal RNA, internal transcribed spacer 2, and large subunit ribosomal RNA". The record is from RNAcentral.
CCUCCCCUAACCGGGAGGCAUGCCUGUCUGAGCGUCAUUUAAACCAUAGCCCCUUUAUGGGUCUGUCUUGGGCAUCGCCUGUGGGCGUAGCCUCAAAGUUAUCGGUCUGAGUGCGGACGAGAUCCAUUAGGACUUACCGUGCUGGGACCUUAAACCUCUGACUUGACCUCAGAUCAGGUAGGGCUACCACCUGAACUUAA